GUGCUGGACUUGAGUCUGACGCAGCUGCAGGGCGGCUUGUAUGUUCCCAUUCUGCAAGGCCUCUUACACGUCAUGCUUUAAUAAACCGUACAAUCUCACCCUUUGGUGUGAUUUCAAGCUCAUCUGUAAAUUGUUUCGUUGCUUUAUUUUCUGAGAGUUACAUGCUAUUUAUUUAAAACAUUAUUCUCUAAAUGGUUUCCAUCUCUCUAAGCAGUGUGUUUUGCCUCUGGUAGGGGAAAGCGAGAACAGUGAGAAAGCUACUUGGUGCAUCAAAUAAAUGAAAAGCAAGCAUUGCACCAGUGAAACUCAAAUUCUACAUCAAGAAAAACAAAUGCUGACAAUCAGCAUGUGCCUCUUUGCAGGGGCAUCUCUGGAAAUGGAGAUAAACACGUUUUGCUCUCCUGACACAUAGCCCUCGAUAGCCCUGCCCUCCACAGUAUUUAACUCAUUCCCCACCUUCAUAAAGCCACACCUUCUCUUCUUAGCCAUCGCCUCAUCCAGUAUGAAUGAGUUCCACAGGCUACACUUGCAUUCUGUGAACAAGCACCAAAGGCGGAUUUAGGGCAGUGUGAACAGAGCGGUCACACCAAGCAUACAGCCGUGGGGGCUGCCUUCUCAAAGCCCAGCGAGCAGUUCCCUAGCUUUGUGGGGGGGGGGAGGCGUGAGGGCUCUGACCGGGUCCUAGAACCCUCUUCCUCCUUCCCAAAACCAGGCAAGCACUGUGGGAUGUGACACAUACGUAGCAGUCAAGUACAACAUUCCUUGUUUUCCUAGAGUUGACAUGCAGGGGAAUGUUUGGUCCAGCCAGUUGAAAACUUCCUGUUUCCUCCUGGUUGGGACAUACCUCCUUUGUGUGUGACUAGAGGUGCGUGUGACCUUACCUGUUCAGGUAACAAAAGGGACAAGUCAUGCAGCACUCUCUCUCUCUUUGACUCCCUUCAUCCUUGGAGCAGCUUUUUAGCAAGAAAUGCUCUGUUGGAUUUCAGCCAACAGAAGACACUGGGAUUAUCCCUAUAUGGGAUAGAUCCACAUGUGUAUACUUUGUAACUAAGUCUGCCUUCAGGGAGCCAACUGUGAACUGAAGAUACUGUGUUUUGGAGUACGGCUCCCAUCAGCAAGCGCAGUCAUGUGAUGCUGGUGUUGAUGGGAGCACAGCCAGGGUGACUGGGGCAGAUGUGCAUUGCAGCUCCAGAACAUCUGCAAGGUGCCAGGUUAGGAAAGGCCUGUCUACAACCUUCUCCAGCUUCCUCAGCUCUGGAAUUCUCAGCUGACAAUGGACAAGUCAAAUCUGUAACCUGAAGCAGCCUGGAAGUGAUAGCACUGCUUUCUGGAUGGCACGGCUUCAAGCUACAGAAGCUGCUUGGCACCCAGUCUGGUAAUAAAACUAUUCCAAAUAUGUAGAAAGAUCUA
Long non-coding RNA from Podarcis raffonei (Aeolian wall lizard), 1410 nucleotides. RefSeq lists it as uncharacterized. The record is from RefSeq and is a predicted model, not a curated record. The transcript has 2 exons. NCBI's taxonomy places the organism in Eukaryota, Metazoa, Chordata, Lepidosauria, Squamata, Lacertidae.